Molecule: ribosomal RNA, 355 nt
Filed under: uncultured bacterium
Lineage: Bacteria
Description: partial 16S ribosomal RNA
Rfam family: Bacterial small subunit ribosomal RNA
Source: RNAcentral
CCUACGGGUGGCAGCAGUGGGGAAUAUUGCACAAUGGGGGAAACCCUGAUGCAGCGACGCCGCGUGAGUGAAGAAGUAUUUCGGUAUGUAAAGCUCUAUCAGCAGGGAAGAAAAUGACGGUACCUGACUAAGAAGCCCCGGCCAACUACGUGCCAGCAGCCGCGGUUAUACGUAGGGGGCAAGCGUUAUCCGGAUUUACUGGGUGUAAAGGGAGCGUAGACGGCAGAGCAAGUCUGAAGUGAAAGCCCGCGGCCCAACUGCGGGACUGCUGUGGAAACUGCCCGGCUAGAGUGCUGGAGAGGUAAGCGGAAUUCGUAGUGUAGCGGUGAAAUGCGUAGAUAUUAGGAAGAACACC